This is a non-coding RNA of Fomitopsis serialis, 126 nucleotides long. The record is from the annotation of a RefSeq genome assembly. Lineage: Eukaryota; Fungi; Basidiomycota; Agaricomycetes; Polyporales; Fomitopsidaceae.
GGCAAGAUGGCCGAGCGGUCUAAGGCGCUGGAAUCAGGUGUUUUGUCCGCAAAUUGGAUCAAUCCAGAGGGAGAGCGUAGCACUGUGCACGGAACAAGGGCGCGAGUUCGAAUCUCGCUCUUGUCA